Molecule: ribosomal RNA, 540 nt
Filed under: uncultured bacterium
Lineage: Bacteria
Description: bacterial SSU rRNA
Rfam family: Bacterial small subunit ribosomal RNA
Source: RNAcentral
GAGUAAUAUAUCGGAACGUGCCCUACAGUGGGGGAUAACGUAGCGAAAGUUACGCUAAUACCGCAUACGAUCUACGGAUGAAAGUGGGGGAUCGCAAGACCUCAUGCUCCUGGAGCGGCCGAUAUCUGAUUAGCUAGUUGGUAGGGUAAAAGCCUACCAAGGCGACGAUCAGUAGCUGGUCUGAGAGGACGACCAGCCACACUGGGACUGAGACACGGCCCAGACUCCUACGGGAGGCAGCAGUGGGGAAUUUUGGACAAUGGGGGCAACCCUGAUCCAGCAAUGCCGCGUGAGUGAAGAAGGCCUUCGGGUUGUAAAGCUCUUUUGUCAGGGAAGAAAUUGCUCGGGCUAAUAUCCUGGGCGGAUGACGGUACCUGAAGAAUAAGCACCGGCUAACUACGUGCCAGCAGCCGCGGUAAUACGUAGGGUGCGAGCGUUAAUCGGAAUUACUGGGCGUAAAGCGUGCGCAGGCGGUUGUGCAAGACAGAGGUGAAAUCCCCGAAGCUUAACUUUGGGAAGUGCCUUUGUGACUGCAUGGCU